Molecule: long non-coding RNA, 376 nt
Filed under: Mytilus galloprovincialis (Mediterranean mussel)
Lineage: Eukaryota; Metazoa; Mollusca; Bivalvia; Mytilida; Mytilidae
Source: RNAcentral
CUUUUAUAAUUAGGUCUUUCCACUUUUCUGUGGAAAGACCUAUUGUUUUUCUUCUGAUUAUUUUUUUUUUUUUUUUUUUUUCUUCCGCCAAAUUUUGUUCUUGCGAUAAACAUUUGUUUCGCAAUAUGUCGCUUAGAUAUUUGGUAUAUGAUAUCGAACAGUUUAUGCUCUUUUGAAAUUUACCCUGCGUAACCGAAUACUUUUCUUUGUAGGAGUUAUCUCCCCAAACACUGUUUUCCUUGUUAGCGCAUCUCCUUCGCAACCGUAAAAGAUUACGACAAAUUUAUUUUAUAAAAUUGCUCGUUAUAUCCUUCGCAUGAUUUGUCCAAUUUCGACCGAAGCAAUAUGAACGCUCCAUAUGAGAGUUAUUUCCCUU